Molecule: transfer RNA, 96 nt
Filed under: bacterium
Lineage: Bacteria
Description: tRNA-Ser
Rfam family: tRNA
About the family: Transfer RNA (tRNA) molecules are approximately 80 nucleotides in length. Their secondary structure includes four short double-helical elements and three loops (D, anti-codon, and T loops). Further hydrogen bonds mediate the characteristic L-shaped molecular structure. tRNAs have two regions of fundamental functional importance: the anti-codon, which is responsible for specific mRNA codon recognition, and the 3' end, to which the tRNAs corresponding amino acid is attached (by aminoacyl-tRNA synthetases). tRNAs cope with the degeneracy of the genetic code in two manners: having more than one tRNA (with a specific anti-codon) for a particular amino acid; and 'wobble' base-pairing, i.e. permitting non-standard base-pairing at the 3rd anti-codon position.
Source: RNAcentral
GGAGAGGUGGCCGAGCGUCGGUCUAAGGCAGCCGCCUGCUAAGCGGUUGGACGCCCAAAAGGCGUCCCGUGGGUUCGAAUCCCACCCUCUCCGCCA